GCCUACUGUUUAAUUUUGAGGGUUCGUUUUUACGAAUACUCAAAAUUAGCACUUUAAGCAACGGGAUUUAUCCGUUGGCGCUGUGCAUUAGCACUUUGAAAACUGCAUAUAUAUAUUUAGUGAUAUGACAUCUAAUUUGUAAUAUAUAAAGCUGAUAACUUUUUAAAAUUAUCGAAGUUGAUAGCUUCUAAUCUAUCAAACCUUUUUAACUGGUCAA
RNAcentral lists this unclassified non-coding RNA (217 nucleotides) under Clostridioides difficile. RNAcentral describes it as "16S-23S ribosomal RNA intergenic spacer (ISR)". Lineage: Bacteria; Bacillati; Bacillota; Clostridia; Peptostreptococcales; Peptostreptococcaceae. The record is from RNAcentral.